Molecule: transfer RNA, 72 nt
Filed under: Camelus bactrianus (Bactrian camel)
Lineage: Eukaryota; Metazoa; Chordata; Mammalia; Artiodactyla; Camelidae
Also listed under: 2 other names
Rfam family: tRNA
About the family: Transfer RNA (tRNA) molecules are approximately 80 nucleotides in length. Their secondary structure includes four short double-helical elements and three loops (D, anti-codon, and T loops).
Source: Rfam by way of RNAcentral
GAGGGUAUAGCUCAGUGGUAGAGUGAUUGCUUAGCGUGCUUGAGGUCCCGGGCUCAAUCCUCAGUACCCCCA